GGGUUAACAAACACAAGAAAUUGAGAAAGUGACACCAGCAACAAAUACCAAGAAUUAAAUGAACAAAAUAUGGAAAAUGACUGAAAAGGAAGUAGGAAGAAAGGGGGAGUAAUUGAUGACAUUGACUGAGUGGAUCGUUUUGUAUGUUUCAAGCACUCACUUUUCU
This is a non-coding RNA of Caenorhabditis elegans, 166 nucleotides long. The record is from Ensembl. Lineage: Eukaryota; Metazoa; Nematoda; Chromadorea; Rhabditida; Rhabditidae.